Molecule: transfer RNA, 89 nt
Filed under: uncultured Desulfococcus sp.
Lineage: Bacteria; Pseudomonadati; Thermodesulfobacteriota; Desulfobacteria; Desulfobacterales; Desulfococcaceae
Rfam family: tRNA
About the family: Transfer RNA (tRNA) molecules are approximately 80 nucleotides in length.
Source: RNAcentral
GAGAGAUGGCCGAGUCGGCUGAAGGCGCUCGCCUGCUAAGCGAGUAUAGGGUCAAAAACUCUAUCGAGGGUUCGAAUCCCUCUCUCUCC